This 481-nucleotide ribosomal RNA is filed under the name uncultured bacterium. Its description in RNAcentral is "bacterial SSU rRNA". It matches the Rfam family "Bacterial small subunit ribosomal RNA", at positions 30 to 506 of the family's 1533-position model. The record is from RNAcentral.
AUUGAACGCUGGCGGCAUGCCUUACACAUGCAAGUCGAACGGCAGCACGGGGGCAACCCUGGUGGCGAGUGGCGAACGGGUGAGUAACAUAUCGGAACAUACCCUAGAGUGGGGGAUAACGUAGCGAAAGUUACGCUAAUACCGCAUACGAUCUAAGGAUGAAAGUGGGGGGAUCUUCGGACCUCAUGCUCAUGGAGUGGCCGAUAUCUGAUUAGCUAGUUGGUGAGGUAAAGGCUCACCAAGGCGACGAUCAGUAGCUGGUUUGAGAGAACGACCAGCCACACUGGAACUGAGACACGGUCCAGACUCCUACGGGAGGCAGCAGUGGGGAAUUUUGGGACAAUGGGGGCAACCCUGAUCCAGCAAUGCCGCGUGAGUGAAGAAGGCCUUCGGGUUGUAACCACUUUGUCAGGAAGAACGGCCUUUCUAAUACAAGGGCGUAAUGACGGUACCGUGAAGAAUAAGCACCGGCUAACUACGU